GGGGCUAUAGGGUAGCUUGGAUCAUCCUUUCUGGUUUGGGACCAGAAGACCCCGGUUCAAAUCCGGGUAGCCCCA
This 75-nucleotide transfer RNA is filed under the name Candidatus Woesearchaeota archaeon. RNAcentral's name for it is "tRNA-Pro". It matches the Rfam family "tRNA". From Rfam's summary of the family: Transfer RNA (tRNA) molecules are approximately 80 nucleotides in length. Their secondary structure includes four short double-helical elements and three loops (D, anti-codon, and T loops). Further hydrogen bonds mediate the characteristic L-shaped molecular structure. tRNAs have two regions of fundamental functional importance: the anti-codon, which is responsible for specific mRNA codon recognition, and the 3' end, to which the tRNAs corresponding amino acid is attached (by aminoacyl-tRNA synthetases). tRNAs cope with the degeneracy of the genetic code in two manners: having more than one tRNA (with a specific anti-codon) for a particular amino acid; and 'wobble' base-pairing, i.e. permitting non-standard base-pairing at the 3rd anti-codon position. Lineage: Archaea; Nanobdellati; Candidatus Woesearchaeota. The record is from RNAcentral.